RNAcentral lists this long non-coding RNA (661 nucleotides) under Marmota monax (woodchuck). Lineage: Eukaryota; Metazoa; Chordata; Mammalia; Rodentia; Sciuridae. The record is from RNAcentral.
UGCUGGGGAUUGAACCCAGGGCCUCGUGCUUGUUCGGCAAAUGCUCUACCACUGAGCCAUAUUCUUAGCCCUGAGACCAAAUUUUUCUCCCAUCUCUACCCACUUCCCAAGUGUUCACAGAAUGGAUCAUGGGCCCCUUAAUCUUGCGUGACCACUUAAUUGCUCUCCUGCUUGCUUGAAAGAAAAGAAAGAAAGAAAAUUAUGUUUUGGCCACUGAUUUAGCUAUAUGAACUCAUCUCAUCACCCUUUUCUGGGUCUGAAGCUGCUGUAUCUAAAAGUGCCAUCUCAUUGUGCUUUGUAUCAGUCAGUGCUGGAGAAUCUUGAAUAGCUUAUGUACACAACUUUUUAAAUUUUAUAUUAUUUUGAAACUGCAUCUUUGGGGUGGGGUACCUGGCCACCUCGUCUGGCUGAGAGUCCUGCAGUCUGGGCUGGCAGAGUGCUGAACGUUCAAAGUUUCUUUCCCAGCCCAAUCCCCACUUUUUUAGGUGAGGUUUCAUGAGGUCUGUUAGGUGUACAUCCUGCAGCUUAUUGGCUUAAAAUGUAUUCUCCUUUGUUGUGGUCUCUUUGGGGCCAGUUGGGAGAAAGACAAACAAUAGUGCAACUGUUUUGAUACUGAAUAUUGACAAGUGUCUUUUUGAAAUAAAGAACCAGUCCCUCCAAA